AACAACUAAUUAUUUCCCGUUUUAAACUAUAAACAUUCAAUUACCCCAUUUAUACCUUCUAUCCAGCCUGAAAAGCCCUAUAAUAUUUAAACAAAACAGAUUUACCCUCGUACCUUUAGCAUCAUGGUUUAACCAGUACCUCCCCAUAUUACUAUCCCCGAAUAAUUACCGAGCUGAUAAUAUCCUAGCUAGAAACCCCCAGUAUAAUGUUACAUUAUUAAACCGAGAGACACUAUCAGAGGCUACAUACCCCCGCGGAAUUAGAUAGCUGGUUGCACAACAAAUUGAUUUAAGUCAAGACAACAGAAUGUUAGUAAAACCCUAAAGGCCAAGCUUUAGGGUUUCCCCCUAUUAAUUUAUACCCCACAGGCUAUAAUAGGCUUAAAACCCGCCACUAUAACCCGUUAUAGAGUUAGCUUUCUAUCCCUUUUAAUAAUAUAAUUUUGUGUAUACAAGUGCAAUAUUCAACUCCACAGAAUAAUUUAAAAUGUUAUAACUAGUAUACCCUCUUCGUAAUAAAUAAUAUAAAUUUAAAUAUAAAAUUACCCCCUCCCAUUUUUAUCUCUAAACAAGGAACUCGGCAAAUCUUUAUUCAGCCUGUUUAACAAAAACACCGCCUACUGAAUAUAUAGUAGGUCCAUCCUGCCCAGUGAAUAUUUCAACGGCCGCGGUAUUUUGACCGUGCAAAGGUAGCAUAAUCAAUUGCCUUCUAAUUAAAGGCUAGUAUGAAUGGACACACAAGAAUAAAUCUGUCUCGUUUAGAAUAAUUAUAAUCUGUACGGCAGGUGAAAAUUCCUACGUAACAAUAAAAGACAAGAAGACCCUAUAGAGCUUUAUCUAUAACAGUUAACCACUAAAAUAUAGAAUUAGUUGGGACAACUAAAAAACAUUUAUACCUUUUUACCAGAUUUACACGCACCCUUUAAUGUAAAAGAAUAUAGCUACCUUAGGGAUAACAGGCUAAUUUUGCUAGAGAGAUCACAUUGACAGCAUAGAUUGGCACCUCGAUGUUGGCUUAGUGUAACUAUUGAGCGCAGCCGCUCAAUUAAGUUGGUUUGUUCAACCAUUAAAUCACUACAUGAGCUGAGUUCAGACCGGCGUAAGCCAGGUUAGAUUCUAUCUUUAUUAAGAAAAUUAAUUCACAGUACGAAAGGACCUGAUAUUACAAAUAAAAUUUAAAUAACAAUACAAUAUUAAUGGGUU
This 1203-nucleotide ribosomal RNA is filed under the name Nereis zonata. Its description in RNAcentral is "16S ribosomal RNA". The stretch from base 805 to 1127 matches the Rfam family "Bacterial large subunit ribosomal RNA", at positions 2072 to 2648 of the family's 2925-position model. The record is from RNAcentral. Lineage: Eukaryota; Metazoa; Annelida; Polychaeta; Phyllodocida; Nereididae.